CCUCCUCCUCCUCCUCCUCCUCCUUUCUUCCUUCUUCCUUCUCCUCCUCCUCCUUCUUCUUCUUCAUCAUCUUGAUAGCAUAGGUCUAGAGUAUGAAUUAUUUAGAUGACCGUGUCCUGUCACAAUGUCAACAGUUUGGGCAAACCGUUUUGCGUUUGCAAUGGGGUUUGGGUAGUACUACCAUAUAUGAGGAAGUUGGUAAAUGUUGAUUAAAGACAUUCUUAAGCAUUUUAAUGUUGUAGUUUAUAAUAACAAGUUUAAAUGUGUGUUCAAAACCAUGGUAACUUGACUGUUGAGAAAACCUCUAAGUAUAAAGACCUGCUAAAUUCAGCAUUAAUUUUUUUUCAUUGGUUCAAAUCUCUGCUCUUGGUUUCAACAGUGUUCAUGUUUUCUAAAUUGUUAUAUUCCUGUGCGUGAUGAUGUGUAAAAAUAACAAGAUUCCAUCAUGGUGAAAGAACUAACAGGAAGAACAACAGAUGAAAAAUACCAAAUGGUGUUCUUUCUGAAUUCCUUUCCCACUAUAGUGCAGUCUUUAAAAUUGCUUUUCUAGCUGAACUUACUGCUGUUGAUAAAUGGGUACAAAGAUUAAAAACUCAUACUCUUAGAUAGUAAAGGCUGUAUAACUCACAGAAACUCGUAUCAUGCUCCAUGUGUGUAGGCGCUCAUGUUGUCAUAUGUAGGCUGACAUCACAGCUCAUCUUUUAAGUUACUAUGCAUUAUGCCUGGUGUUCUUUUUUUCCUGUGUCCUUUGUGUUAAAGCUUAUUUAUAACUUAGUUUGACUUUUGUUCAAGGUAACUACUGGGCUUUGAGUAAUAGGGAAACACGUUGCUUCAGGUGGAUUCCUAGGACAAGGAAAAAAAUAAAACAACUGUGGCCCAUCCACUUUAUGCCUGUUGACCUUUUUCUGUCGGGACUUCUUGAUCAGCUCUGAAAGGGAGAGCUGGUUGCAGCCUUUUCUGGGGGGAACCUGCCUGCUGUGAUGGCAGGUUCAAAUCAAGCCCAGGAGUGGCCUCUCAUCCUUCUGAGGUGGAGCUGCCAGCUUGCUGUAUGGCUGCCACAACAGUAACCCAGUGCUCGACUUGAUUGGUGAGGAUUUACAUGUGUGCUAAUUAGAGUGGAAUAAAUGAUUGGCUGUUUGCAGCAUUGCCAUAAAGGGUGCCCAGAUGUACACACUACAUGAACAUAAUGUGCCCGGGCACAGCGCAUCAAAGUUUGUCAGCUGCAUUACCUCAGCAAGCUUUGGGCCUGUCGCAGAGAAUUUGUUGAUAAUUGUCCCCUAUGAUUUAGUGUCUUUCUGGGUGAAAGCGAAAGACCUCAAAAUAAUGUCUUGGCAAGAGAAUUUCUAAUCCUUCAGGGAAAUAACAAAAUAUGCUUGAAUGUAACUGGGAGUAAUGAAUAGAUGACUUUAAGCUAUGUAUAUUCAAAUGUUGAUUUCUCAUGUUUUGAAAAUAUUUUCCAGUAAAACAAAUAAAAUAUCAAGUAAAUUGGCAUAAUUGAAUAAAUUUAAUCUUUAGGAAUUGCAUAAAUAUCACUCUUGUAGUUUGAAUUAAUCCACAUUAAAAUCACCCAUGCAUAUGUGUCUGAUGAGAGAUGUAAUGUGGGGGAGUGGACUGAAAAUUCAAAAGCAUAUUUUCUGGAACUGAAACUUUCCUCUGUAUACUUUGCAAAUCCAUAUCCUUUUUGCCAAUGUGAAGCUAAGCCCCAACGGUCCCUUGUUUGCGUUUAUGUGCAGUAACUUUGAUAUCUAACUAAGGUGAAAAGCAGUUUUUGAGUUAUACAUUCAUGGUAUUGAUAAUAUAUUAACUUACACUGAUUAAAUGGUUACACUGCCAUGAAAGUUAGGAGGGAGGGACAUUCUUCCAGCAUAGCUAGGCAGGAACAAAGCCAGCCCCUUACAGAGGUCGCCACUCAAUCUCUACUCCUCAGAGACAGGAGCCUGAUAGCAUUGAUUCUUUCUUUGAUACUGUUGCUGCACUUGAAUGACCCAAUACAGUUCAGUGAUAAGGUUAAGUUAAUUACGGUUUCUGUGCUGUGCAGCUCUCACUUGAUUACUGCUGAGGAAGAGUUUGAUGCCUUUUGCUUUAAUUAAGCAAAAGGGAAUGAACAGAUAUAAUUGGAUUUUGAAAUAAUCCUGUCACUAUCAGGAACAUCCUAUGUUUCCCCCAACUUGGUUAUAUGUACUUCUAGAAGCAAAAACCAGGAAGUGGAAUGAAAAUCUUCUUUUCCCUGUGCCCUGACUCAUUAUCAUAUGAUGUCAAUAUGAAUUUACCAACAGCUCAGGUAAUAUAUUUAAAAAAAUCUUGACAUGAAAAGUAAUCUUUUGGUAGCUUCAGUUUACAAUGAUGGCAGUUGUUCUGUAUGUUGAUAAAAGCCCACCUGUAACGUAAGUCACGAUGCAGCGCUGUAGCCUCUGCACGUGUCAUGCACACUUUAACUAGUUGGAAUUAUAACAGACUUUUAACUUUAAAGGUAUAGAACAGUAUUUUAAGUUUCUAUGCUUUUUUUGCAUAUUGCUUAUAUUCUAUUUAACUGAUUAAGUAAAUCAUGUGCAUUUUAUGCAGCUUAACAGAAAGGUGAAAACAAACCUUUACAAUCUUCUGGUCUGACAAGGUUUUACUUCCACUGGCACAAGUUCCACAAGUUUAUGCUCACUUGAAUAUUUUAUUUAGAAUUUUCAUCAAGCCAGGUUUUCCUUUUUGUGUAGUAGUGUAUGAUUAUCCAUGGUUUUCGUGUGUUUUUGUAAGGAGCAUAGCUAGGCCUGUGACUGCUGGUCUUUGAGAUGUUAGUACAGUUGCUGUGUCCCCUCUGUCCUGGCUAGAUGUCCAUGCCUUUUUCUUCAGCUCCCAUACUGCACACUGAUUUCAUCCACUGACACAGCUGUGCGCCUAACUGUGGGGUUGCCUACAUGACCUCUGCUCUGAGUAACAUUUUUAUAAAUACACUUCAUAGCCAUGCCUGCAUCAAAUGAUGUACAUUUUUAUAAAUACACUUCAUAGCCAUGCCUGCAUCAAAUGAUGUAAUAAAGACGCCUUUUAGCAUUAAAGAGCUUUGUCAUUUUUCAUAGUUUCUUCUUAUUACCCAAUGAGUGUUUCCUAAUGUUCACUUGUCUCACAAGUUGACAGUCAGUCACUGUAUCUGGCUUUUCUUUUCUACAUUUUGAGUAAACACAUGCAAUGUGAAUGGAGAGCGGAAAUCCUGGCCAUGGGGCAGUUAAGCUUAUGGAGCUCAGAUCUGAAGGGAUGGAAAAAAUCCCUUAUUUCACUAGUUAAUUGAGGAGUCUUUUGAGAGUAAGCUCCAUGCUAUUUUUCUCUAGUAUCCUGUGAGAUGAAACAGCAGUUUAAGAUGACCAAACAUGAGUUGUCCAUGCCCAUUUCUCAUGGUCGCUAUCCUAUGAAAAGAGCAGGAACCUUUAAAGUAAGUCACCUAAAAUCUACAUUUUGAGUAGUUUCCAAUCUUAAUUUUGUUUUAUUUAAAUAGUAAUCUUUUUACCCCAAGUCCCCCCAAGAUGUUCAUGUCACUGCUACACUCUGAAAGUGGUGACUAUGUUUUGUACAUGGCAGCAGGGGUUCAGAUUACUGUGGUCUUAAAGCCUGCUCUUUGCUGGACUGAAAGCAUGAGAUGAUCUCAGUCCAGCUGGCAUGAGCAAGGGGGUUUCAGUGUGGGAGACUGCCAGAGAGGAACACAGGGUGUUUGGAAAAACAAAACCCACCACUUGGAAGCUAGGGCAGCAGACCCUGGGCAGGUGGUUGGAAUGGCAUGUGGAAACCAGAGGGCAUAGGGAAGGUCCUCAAAGAGGACCAGAGGGCAUAGGGAAGGUCCUCAAAGAGGACCAGAGGGCAUAGGGAAGGUCCUCAAAGAGGACCAGAGGGCAUAGGGAAGGUCCUCAAAGAGGACCAGAGGGCAUAGGGAAGGUCCUCAAAGAGGACCAGAGGGCAUAGGGAAGGACCUCAAAGCACUACAGCUCCACUGAGGCUCUGAUUUUUAACUCUGGGAUGGACCUCUGAGCUACAGAUCUGUAAGAUAAUAUAUUUUCGUCUUGUUUUUAAAUCACAAAUUUUAUUCUCGUUUGUUGAAGCAAUCCCAGUAUAGUUAUCUGAAAAGUUACCCAUUUUGAUUACUUAAGGGUGAAUAAUAUUACUUUUUAUAAACUUAUCAUUAGUUAUGGUGUUUUGGCCCUGGUAUGCAUUGUUUAUAUGUCUGAUGUUAUGGGAAGGGUUUAGGUUUGACUACUUCAGGACAUAUUAUUCUGAGAAUAUGACAUUAACAAAUUUAAAAUGUGGUUAUUAUUACAAAGGUUAAAGUUAGAAGUCUAUGUUUCCCAGUUGACUCUCACAUUCUUAGGAACAGGUCCAUGUUUUAGCUCCCUUGCUUUUCUUCCUGGACAAUGAGACUUGUAUCUACACCAUCUUCAAGCAGGGGUGUAAUUUGUCUUCAAUACUGUGUGUGUGUGUGUGUGUGUGUGUGUUGUGUUGUGUACACGUGCGUGUGUACUCUUAGGGAAUUUGAUCUACUGACUCAGCAGGACUUAGUGUUCAGGUUAAGUAGGCACUGUUGGCUCCACUGAACAGAAGAGUGCUGUAAAUUAGUAGCUGGGAGGCCGGAGUGUGCCCUUGGGUUCUGUGGAGAGCGUGCAGAACUUCAUCCUGGUACGUGUUGAGUUUGCUUUUUCUGGACUUGGAAGAACAUUCAGAGGCCCUGAUUCCCUCCACUGUGGCUCUCUUUGUAGCCUUUUUUGGAAUGAGAUAGUUGUAGUUUCACAUUAUUUGCUUACUACCUUUCAAAAUUAUCCUGUUUGAACAUUUUAAGUUUGACUAAAACAAUUAUUCUCUAUGUUUCUUCUGCCCUGAAAUGCUUGCUCAUCCAUCAAAUUAAGUUCAUAUGAGAUGAAGAGUGUUACUGAGUGAUGUCUUUGUACUGGACACAGAGUCACACAUCACACUCCCUGCCUCCCUAAUCCUGAGUGACACCAGCCAUGCGUCUCCACACUAUUCUUUACAGGCUGUAACAGAGUAUGUGUCGAGAGCUGGUCUAACAUGGCAGGGGUGCCUGAAUUGGCCUGGGGAAGUCACAGAAAACACCACAGAAAUGAUGAGGACACAUGGCAGUUUUCUUUAUGCUUAUGAUAGGAAAGGGCAUCUUUGGCGGCAGUGUCAGAAGGCAUGGUUAUGAGAAGCAGCUGUCUUCCUGAUGUGCCUCUGGCUGGGCCUGAAGAGGAAACAAAGCUUCAGAAGACAGAAGGAGUCCCUGCAAUGCCUUGACUGCAGGACAUUGUCUUUGUUAAUGCCGCUUUGUCAUUGUGAACUUGUCAGCAGUCCCCAGAUCCUUCACACCUGGAGUUUGUUUGAGAAACUUUGUGCUGAGGUGGGCACAGUGGGUGACCCUGAUGAAGGUGGUUGGAGGACCCGGAAGAUAAGAGGGUAGAUAGAUACCUUUUCAUAUGGACAGGCCUGGGUGGGGGGUGCCUGCUGGAGGGAGAUGGGCUCAGAAGACUGCUUGGAGAAGACUGCUGGCUGCUUUGGAGAGAGGAUUGUGGCACGAAUCUGCUUUGGUGUCUGCUGAGAUUUUUUGGCCUGUGAGUUAUUGAGAAAGAUGUUGAGGUUGGGGGGGGGCAUUCAGGAGAAGUGGAGGGGCAGUGACCAGGAUGUAAAAUGAAUGAAUGAAUUAAUGAAUGAAUGAAUUAAUGGGGGAAAAAGAAUGGAAGUUGGAGAUUGUCAGCAGGAGUUUUUGGCUGUAGUUACAAAAGGAUAGAGAAGAGAGCAAUGUUCAGAAGAGAGGAGUAUCAGACAGAACAAGUAGAAGCCCAAGGAUGGGCACAGACUUCUCUCCCUUUGUCCAGGGGGCAUUUGAAAGGUUUGUUCUGCCCUCUUCCAUGCCAGGGUUUGGAACAGAGGACAUUCUUGCAAGGCCUGGUGUGUGUCUGACUCACUGACUUGCAUGGCAGCUCUAGGCUUCUCAGCAUGUGCUGUCAGGCUGGUCAUGUGCUUCUCAUCCUCUUAGAGGAGGGAAUGAGGGAUUUGGAGUAACCACACCAUGGCUCUUUAGAAUUUGUUAAAUGUAUAUUGAAUUAUCACUUUUGUAAUUCCUUUCUUUAAAUUAGGAAGUGACGACUGGAUGUAUUUAUAUAUACAGAAACCAGUACUGUUAUGCAUUUAUUAAAGUCCUAAGAUAAACUUCAGAUUUAUCCAGGAAAUUUUAACAUUUUAAUUUCUUUUUAUGUUUUAUGGUGAUAAUGUGGUUAAAACAGAGCUUCAAUUAAGUUAGAGAGAGAGAGUGAGUGUGUGUGUGUGUGUGUGUGUGUGUGUGUGUAUAGUUAUUUCUCAGAAUUUCCCCUUCAUUAAGCUUAGACAUUUGGAGUACUUGGCUUAAAUUGUUUUGCCCUGACACAUUUUCCAAGAAAUUUUAUUUUUAAUUUAGGGGAGAUCAAUGAAAGAGAAUUGUCUUCCCUUGGCCUUCUUAUGUCUUUACAGGAAUAAAACCAGAUAGAGCAUUACCCAAAUUUGAGCUACCUGUGCAAAGAUACAGUCUCAUAGAGAGCAGGCCCUGCUCUAACAGAACGUAGUCUCCUAUUGCUUUACUGUGGCUGGCUGUGCGGCAAUGACAGCUCUGACAAUAUUUGAAAUUUAGAACAAUUUGCACCAUGUGGACAUAUUGUUUCACAGUAGCCUUCGCAUUGGAGUACAGUGUUUAACACAGUGUAGCAGAAGGGAUGUUGUAAAGGCCAUGGCCGUGUGAGUUUCUUGGAAUUCUUGAAGUAGUUGGAGUUUGUAUGUUGACAGGAAGAAAUCCUAAGUACGCCUCAACAUAGAAGCUUGCUUCUGUCACUGCUGAGGUGAUGUCUACAUUUUAUAUACUAUAGAGAGACUUAUGGAAAAAGUUGUUUUCUCAUAUCAAAUGAAGCUUUAAAAAAUAAAUCUUAGUAGUUUGUUGUAAAGAUUUUGCAUCUGUUAAUGAAACAGAAUCAUCUAGACUGGUAGCUUCAUUGAAAAUGCGUAAUUGCAAAAUUAACUUGUCACGCACCCCACUCAGCAAAGUCACUUUCUCAUAAGUCUGUGGUCACAGUAUGGUUUUACAGUUCAGCAUCUGGCUCUGUGGGGUACUGAUGGCUUCUAGGAAGAAAUGUACCAGGGUGAGCAAUUAAAGGCAAAGUGACAGCAUAAAAUAUGAUCAUUGUGGUUAUCCGAAAGACACAGAUAUGAAAUUUGCAGAUCAUUGUCAUUUCUGUACCCGUAUUUUCUCUUGCUUUGUUAGCUUAAUAAUUGUAGAACAAUUUAUUUUUUCUUUGAAAAAGUGAGCAAGGCUGUUUUAAUUAUUCUUGUUCUUGUUUGUGUCUUUCUUCUUCAAUUGUGGCACUGUAAUUGUCAUAUAUAGUAUUAUGUAUCAACACUAUCAAAGGACAUGAUACUUUUAUAUUUAAAACAUAAAUAUUAAAAUAGAAAUUUAGUUGUUACUAAAAUUUCCUAUGGUUAUUAGCAUUUGUAUCACAUGGAGAUUGUAUGAUACUUGCCACCUGGAAAUGAGGGUUGCUCAUAGUUUCCUUCAUAAUGUCAGGUGUGUUUUGAAGUGUGCUUUACAGUAUCCUGUUAGGUAUAGAAUUCAUAGCCUGGCAUGAGGGCUUAGGUAUGUGGUGAAGACAGCAGGUGUUUCUGCUUUGCUUUCACUCGCAGAAACCUGCUUUAUAAACAGAAUUGUUAGGAUUCUGUUCAAACAGGCAAGAGCCUUGCCCAGGAUGCCAUGUUUGCUCAUGAGCCUCUGUGCUCCCUUUUAAGCAGGUGGCUACUCUCUACUCCUGGACAUUGCUGCCCACCUCUCCUGUCUACUCUGAGUCAUUUCUUCAUGUGCCAUGGGAAAGCUAGUGACUUUACCAUUUCAGGCCAAGGUCACUCUCUUGUACUGUAUUCAUACUGUCCCCUCUCCCAGAACAGACAUACACAUACACACGUUUGUAUGCAUGCAUGUUUGGACUUUGCUGUUAUGUUAAACAUAGCCUGUGUUUGCAGGUAUCUGCCUCAUUCACUAAGGUCCUGUGACUUCUCAGUAGUCAGUUGUGCAAUAUGGUCAGGCAUGCUGGGUCUUGCCACCCCAGGGUGGGAUUACAAUGUAUGCCACUAUGUUGCCUUUUCACCUGGGUUCUGAGGAUCAAAUUCCAUCCUUGUCCUUUUAAGGCAAGCACUUCAUAGUCUGAGCUAUCUCCCCUGUUCCGAACAUGAUAUUUUAAAGACGUAUGUACUGUCUCUCAUUUUGUAAAGUGAGUAUUUACUGCCCUGGUUCAGUUUUGGCACUUGUCAUUUUCAGCCGUGAACUCCAAGGUGAGACAGCUCUAAUGUGUGUGUUAGACGGUUGAGGUGUUUUUGUUUGCCUUCCUCAGGAUGCAGUUCAUGUUGUAUACAUUACAUUCAUGUCCAGGAACAACCAGUUCUGUUUUGCUGGCUGAGUAUCUUGAGGCUGUCUGUUUUAAGAAUGAGCCUUCUAUCCGGAUAUUUGUGCUUUCACAGUCACCAUCAAGUUAACUUUUUAUUUGAAAGUCUAGUUGGUGAAUCAAAAUGACAAGAACACAGAUUUCUGUAAAUGAGCUGUUGAAAUAAUAAAGACUAACAGGAUACGAGCAUGGCCUAGAAUUAUCAGCAUAUCUUACUUAUGCAAAGUGAGGUAUAUUACUUAUCUUCUUAUAGGCCAACCCCCCUCUCCCUGCCAGUUCUUUUCUGUGUUGUAAUAGUCAUCUUUCUGUAGAAUUUUGGAUUUUGUCCUGUUUAUUCAUUAAACCAGUGUACAGUAUCAUAGGUGUCAUGAUGCUUGUCCUCUUUCACCCGCUGUGUUCAUACUCACCUCCGGGAUUAUUUCCAUCUUAUCCUCCUGCGCAUCCUUCUUUCUCCCCUGCAGUCCCUCCUACUUUUGCCUUAUUAGUGGGUAAAUGUGCGCGCACAAACACACA
Mus musculus (house mouse) is the source of this 8930-nucleotide long non-coding RNA. RefSeq annotates it as predicted gene, 31909. NCBI's taxonomy places the organism in Eukaryota, Metazoa, Chordata, Mammalia, Rodentia, Muridae. The record is from RefSeq and is a predicted model, not a curated record. The transcript is spliced from 2 exons.